AGGCAUUGAAGUAAUAUGCCGUGUCGGAAUGCGGUAUAUUAUGGAGCCAGCUUGUGGGUUGUGCGAUAACCACAAACCCAAUAGGUCAUUUGACUGAACGAAAACGCCUACG
Molecule: non-coding RNA, 112 nt
Filed under: unclassified sequences
Description: drum RNA
Rfam family: drum RNA
About the family: Firmicutes, Bacteroidetes (1 example), Proteobacteria (2 examples), Spirochaetes (2 examples). Terminator (Clostridia)
Source: Rfam by way of RNAcentral